This is a non-coding RNA of Punica granatum (pomegranate), 1279 nucleotides long. The record is from RefSeq and is a predicted model, not a curated record. Lineage: Eukaryota; Viridiplantae; Streptophyta; Magnoliopsida; Myrtales; Lythraceae.
CUUUGAUUUAUCCCUUCUUUUCUUCUUUUCCGUACUCUCUCUCUAUAGCUCAUACCCUUAAAUAUGGUUCCUGCUGUAACUUUUAUCAGUGUCUCCCUCUCCCUACUCCCAUGGGAUCAUCAUGCGAAGAUGCCUCUAGUGAAAGAGUGCGUCAAGUUCCAUCAUGAAUGGAAAUAAGGGAGAUACCACCAUGGACGUGGAGAGUACUGCCGGGAAUGAGACAGAAUUCCGACCGCUUGAACACCCAAGGGAGCCGCCGUUUGAUGAAGAUCAGCCGAUUGAAUGUCCCAUGCGUGUGUCCUCUGCUGUCAAUGUCGGAGAGAUGCCCAAGGAAAACUCAAUGGAGAGCCCAAGGAAGAGAAUGGAAUCAACAAAUAUGAUGAGUAAUGAAGGGACGAUUCUCAAGGCGGAUGCUGAACCCCCCAGUGCACGAAAGAGGCAUCAUAAUCAGACCCAUGGGGACAUUGUCAUAACUCCAAUCCUGAGGAACAUACCACCACCACCGCAAUCAAACUUAACCCAUGAACUCACCACACUUCACCAGAUGGACAGUUUCAAGCCUAAUUUAAAUUGAAUGAGGUAUAUAAUUAGUGAAUGUUGAUCUCCCUCCCUCCCUCUUUCUCUAUAGUGCUGAUAAGGAAGGUGAGGGUGCAGAGGGAGCUGUCUAUUCAACUUCAGUGUACUCUGUUCUCUGGAAGAUAUGGUGAUCGGCUAUUGUAGGAAGAUGCAGAAAAAGGAAAAAAGAAGGACCAGUUCGUCAAACUAAAAAUACAGACUGACUUGUUUAGACUGUUUAAGUUAACAGAACAUACUCUUGCUUCUUUUAGUGAAGAUUAAGAAAAUGAACUCACAGCAUGUUCCUCUUAUGGGUAGUAUUACAUUCGUUAAAUCAUCAUGGAAGAAUUUUUUGUGUUUGAAAUAUAUAACUCGUUUUAAUUGUUAAUGCAUGUCCGAGAGAUGGAGAUCAGAGAGUCGGAGGAGAUCCAUGUAGAGAGUAUAAUACGAGGAAAACUGCACACAUGAGAGGACAAAGAGCAAAGGAAAAUAUGCUACGACGAAGUGGUUCUGUCCUUGUACUAGAGAUUGUUAAAUCGCCUUAUGCCUACCCGAAGAUCCUAAUGAUCCCAAAAAUAUUUGAAAAGUUUAACUUUCAUACAGUAAUGUACUGAUAAGGAGGGAGGCAAAGAGAUGUAUGAAAAAAUAAAAGAACUGCUAAAAACCUCCUCAGCUUGUACAAGGAUGCAAUUUAAUUAUAGAUAGUGAUGCUUCCUUCUAUUUU